Non-coding RNA from Hydra vulgaris (swiftwater hydra), 203 nucleotides. The record is from RefSeq and is a predicted model, not a curated record. NCBI's taxonomy places the organism in Eukaryota, Metazoa, Cnidaria, Hydrozoa, Anthoathecata, Hydridae.
AAUUACAGUCGAUAAUCUUUCGAAAGCAGAAAAACUCAGGUUAGCAUCAAAUAGAAAGUUAGCGCAAUUUCUGGUAUUUGUGUGUCAAACAAAGAAUACGCGAGUUAUUUGAGAUAUGAUUGAAAUUUGCAAAGAAAGUAAAAAUCAAACUAGUUUCAUUCUAAGUUAUUGUAUAUAAUUUUAAAAUUUUGGAAUAGAAGUGA